This 254-nucleotide ribosomal RNA is filed under the name uncultured bacterium. Its description in RNAcentral is "partial 16S ribosomal RNA". It matches the Rfam family "Bacterial small subunit ribosomal RNA", at positions 524 to 776 of the family's 1533-position model. The record is from RNAcentral.
UACGUAGGGUGCAAGCGUUAAUCGGAAUUACUGGGCGUAAAGCGUGCGCAGGCGGUUUUGUAAGUCUGACGUGAAAGCCCCGGGCUUAACCUGGGAAUUGCGUUGGAGACUGCAAGGCUUGAAUCUGGCAGAGGGGGGUAGAAUUCCACGUGUAGCAGUGAAAUGCGUAGAGAUGUGGAGGAACACCGAUGGCGAAGGCAGCCCCCCUGGGUCAAGAUUGACGCUCAUGCACGAAAGCGUGGGGAGCAAACAGG